Molecule: non-coding RNA, 71 nt
Organism: Agrilus planipennis (emerald ash borer)
Lineage: Eukaryota; Metazoa; Arthropoda; Insecta; Coleoptera; Buprestidae
Source: Rfam
UUCCUCGUAGCUUAGUGGCAGAGCAAUGGUGCGUAAAACUAGGGACCUUGGUUCGAUUCCCAGCGAGGACU